AGUAUGCCGUAAGAGUCAUCGCUGUAACUACAUGCAACGUGUGGGAAUAGGGAAGCCUGCCCUGUCAGAGUGUUGAAAGCGAUCUCCAUCUGUUCUGGGUACUGCUCGCUCAUCAUCUGAUGGAUGCACACUACCCCUACUUGUGCCUUUCCUUCUCCUUGCUCCUUCCCUGCUAGUACAGUGGAAGCAGAUGUGUUUGCCUUUUACAGUGUUUGUUAUCAAGCUCCAACUGAGUAUGCUGAAUCACAGUGCUGCCUGAACAACCCAGUCUGAAAUACCAUGCUGCCCAUUUGGGAGAGAGAGGAAGCCCAGGUAAACCGAGCCGGUUUUGUGAAUGAAUUCAAUUUCAGCUUCAUUUUGAAAAAUGAAGUAGCUCGUGUGGCAAAGCUGGGGGGGGGGAAAGCUUCAUGACCCCUUGCUAAAAGGAGGCUCAGCAGAAGUUGGUCUUGUUGCUCAGGAUGAACAUGAGGGUAACAGGUCUCCAUAGCAUCAUAUUGCAAAUGUGUAGUUCUUUCCCCUCAGUCUGUAAUUUGGAGAGUAUACCCGUGCACACCUCUCCUUUUCUGCACCACCCUCUUUUCCUAAUUUUUCUUGAAUGUCAUGGCUUCAGAAUUCAAAAUAACUCCACCACUUUUUCUAAUUAUAGUAGAGAGUGUGGUUUCGCGUUCCUGCAUCAGAUGUUGAGGAUCAAAGGCAUCUGAAACAAUCAUAAAGACGAUACCAAAAGAACACCUGGGUAGAUGCACGAACUGCAAAGCCUCCUGGAGAAGGAGGCCAUGUAUGUGGGACUGUGGGCUGUGGGUCUGGGGCCCCCCUCCCCCUCUGCCCAUCUCAGUGCACUGCAGUAUGUCCUGAGCACUGCUGCCCACUCCCAUGAGCAGAAUACCCAAAUUCCAACACGUCUCCCUCCUGCUCCAGCCACACUGCAUGACCCACAGUAUCCCUUUGGCACUUCACAUCCAGUUCUUCUCUGGCGCUGCAAUGGCAAGGGAAAGAUGCACCAUUGGCACUGCAGAGGAAAUCCCUGUCAUCUCCCUGCUGCUGCUCCCUUUUUUCUACGGGGGCAACAUCAUGGGAUGACCCUGCUCACCAAAGGACCCUGACAAGUACCCAUGGUCAUGGUUCCCCUCUGGCUUGGCUCACUUUGCAGGACGCCUCAUUUUUCCGGACACUGGAAGUUCAUCCAGGGCUCUUAGUGGAUGUUUUCCCUGCACUGUGAUUACUGAAAGCUAUUCUUCAUUAAAGGAUAGAAUUCAUCUCUGCUGAAUGUAUAGGAUGACGCCUGAAGCCCACCCCAAUCUCCAUUAACUGCAUUGUUCUCACGGCUGAGAGAAAUAAGGUUUAUUUUAGUCAGCAUAGUGAACAAACACCACCUGUGAUCUUCUCAGGAAGCUGACCUGAGCUAAGAGGUGACAUUUUUACUGCUCCUUUCUGACUGUAACCAAGCCUAAUGGUGCAUGGAUUAUUAUGCUUCCAGCAAAUCCGUCUUUUUUAGUUGAAAAUGAGGUUUUAGUCAAUUAAAUUCUCAGUGAAAAUAAAGACAUGUACAACAUACAUACAAUAAUUCAAUUUAAAAACACACUGAAAGAAAGGAGCUUUUAAGAAUGGUGCUGUGAAUGAAAGAUAAGAAUAUUCUUUUGUGGUAUGAAUAAAUUGCCACUCUUGUUAGCACUCUUACGAAGUGAUCACAGGAUGAAUCCGCCUGCAAAUAUGGCCAACCUCUCUGCUUUCCAAGAUACUCACUGCCUGGACGAACAUAUCCACUGCCACUGCUUUAUGGAUCACCGGGAUUUUGAGCUGGUGGUCAGAAAACAGGAGACACAGCAUGCCUGGUAGGCUGCACUGCAGUACGAAUCAAGCUUCACGGGUGCUGUCAGCCAUGCACAGCUCCUCCCAGCCAGUCUUGGGACCAAGAGAACAAAUAAAGCCUGUAAACUUCACCUCCCCAG
Molecule: long non-coding RNA, 1949 nt
Organism: Gallus gallus (chicken)
Lineage: Eukaryota; Metazoa; Chordata; Aves; Galliformes; Phasianidae
Source: Ensembl